UUAACAGUUCGCUUAGAACACUCAGAAAUAUCGUCGGGUUCGAACAGAGAUUCUGAUGAUACCGGCGGGCACGCCCCGGGAGGCGCGCCGCCGAAGCAACAGGUAUAAAGGUUCACAAAGGGUUAUGAGUUAUAGUACUCGGUAAUGAUCCCUCCGCUGGUUCACCAACGGAGA
RNAcentral lists this unclassified non-coding RNA (174 nucleotides) under uncultured fungus. RNAcentral describes it as "sequence contains ITS1". Lineage: Eukaryota; Fungi. The record is from RNAcentral.